GAGGAAUAUUGGUCAAUGGGCGGAAGCCUGAACCAGCCAUGCCGCGUGCAGGACGACGGCCCUACGGGUUGUAAACUGCUUUUCCGGGGGAAGAAUAACCCCCCUGCGGGGGGGGAUGCCGGUACCCCGGGAAUAAGGAUCGGCUAACUCCGUGCCAGCAGCCGCGGUAAUACGGAGGAUCCUAGCGUUAUCCGGAUUUACUGGGUUUAAAGGGUGCGUAGGCGGGCGCUUAAGUCCGCGGUGAAAGUCUGCGGCUCAACCGUAGGAUUGCCGUGGAUACUGGGGGUCUUGGAUUCGGUCGGGGCGGGCGGAAUGCGUGGUGUAGCGGUGAAAUGCAUAGAUAUCACGCAGAACGCCGAUAGCGAAGGCAGCUCGCCGGGCCGACAUCGACGCUGAGGCACGAAAGCGUGGGGAUCAAACA
This 421-nucleotide ribosomal RNA is filed under the name uncultured bacterium. RNAcentral describes it as "bacterial SSU rRNA". It matches the Rfam family "Bacterial small subunit ribosomal RNA", at positions 356 to 774 of the family's 1533-position model. The record is from RNAcentral.